CUCCAAUAGCGUAUAUUAAAGUUGUUGCAGUUAAAAAGCUCGUAGUUGAAUUUCGGGAUCAAUAUUUCGGUCAUGCCGUUGGUAUGCACUGUUAUCAUUGAUUUCUCACCUUCUAAAGAACCGUAAUGCCAUUAAUUUGGUGUUACGGGGAAUUAGGACUGUUACCUUGAAAAAAUUAGAGUGUUUAAAGCAGGCUCACGCUUGAAUACAUUAGCAUGGAAUAAUGAAAUAGGACAUCCGAUUCUAUUUUGUUGGUUUCUAGGAUCGAUGUAAUGAUUAAUAGGGAUUAGUUGGGGGCAUUAGUAUUCAAAUUGUCAGAGGUGAAAUUCUUGGAUUUAUUGAAGACUAACUACUGCGAAAGCAUUUGCCAAGGAUGUUUUCAUUAAUCAAGAACGAAAGUUAGGGGAUCGAAGACGAUCAGAUACCGUCGUAGUCUUAACCAUAAACUAUGCCGACUAGGGAUCGGAUGAUGUUAAUUUUUAAUGACUCAUUCGGCGCCUUACG
Molecule: ribosomal RNA, 504 nt
Filed under: uncultured Glomus
Lineage: Eukaryota; Fungi; Glomeromycota; Glomeromycetes; Glomerales; Glomeraceae
Description: SSU rRNA
Rfam family: Eukaryotic small subunit ribosomal RNA
Source: RNAcentral